RNAcentral lists this unclassified non-coding RNA (218 nucleotides) under soil metagenome. RNAcentral describes it as "partial contains 5.8S ribosomal RNA, internal transcribed spacer 2, and large subunit ribosomal RNA". The record is from RNAcentral.
AACCUUAUGGACCUGCGGGCGUAUACCUGCGGAAGGAUCAUUACAAGUGACCCCGGUCUAACCACCGGGAUGUUCAUAACCCUUUGUUGUCCGACUCUGUUGCCUCCGGGGCGACCCUGCCUUCGGGCGGGGGCUCCGGGUGGACACUUCAAACUCUUGCGUAACUUUGCAGUCUGAGUAAACUUAAUUAAUAAAUUAAAACUUUCAACAAUGGAUCU